GCUGACCCUAGAAGCAUUGCAGGUCUGGCUGUGAUGUCACAUGUGUGUCAGUAGGUGGCAGAGAGGAGAGAGGCUAUGCCUACAUUCAGUGUUCCAACUGUGAACAUUGGGAUGACUAGUAGUCUAACAUU
This is a non-coding RNA of Arvicanthis niloticus (Nile rat), 131 nucleotides long. The record is from RefSeq and is a predicted model, not a curated record. Lineage: Eukaryota; Metazoa; Chordata; Mammalia; Rodentia; Muridae.